Molecule: ribosomal RNA, 292 nt
Filed under: uncultured bacterium
Lineage: Bacteria
Description: partial 16S ribosomal RNA
Rfam family: Bacterial small subunit ribosomal RNA
Source: RNAcentral
GUGUCAGCCGCCGCGGUAAUACGGAAUGUGCAAACGUUAUUCGGAAUCACUGGGCUUAAAGAGUCCGUAGGCGGCUUGUUAGGUGAGGUGUGAAAUCCCUCGGCCCAACCGAGGAAUUGCGCUUCAAACCGGCAAGCUAGAGGAGGAUAGAGGUGGGCGGAACUGAUGGUGGAGCGGUGAAAUGCGUUGAUAUCAUCAGGAACACCGGAGGCGAAGGCGGUCCACUGGGUCCUUUCUGACGCUGAGGGACGAAAGCUAGGGGAGCGAACGGGAUUAGAAACCCUCGUAGUCC